GAUGAACGUUGGCGGCGUGCCUAAUACAUGCAAGUCGAGCGAACAGACGAGGAGCUUGCUCCUCUGACGUUAGCGGCGGACGGGUGAGUAACACGUGGAUAACCUACCUAUAAGACUGGGAUAACUUCGGGAAACCGGAGCUAAUACCGGAUAAUAUAUUGAACCGCAUGGUUCAAUAGUGAAAGACGGUUUUGCUGUCACUUAUAGAUGGAUCCGCGCCGCAUUAGCUAGUUGGUAAGGUAACGGCUUACCAAGGCAACGAUGCGUAGCCGACCUGAGAGGGUGAUCGGCCACACUGGAACUGAGACACGGUCCAGACUCCUACGGGAGGCAGCAGUAGGGAAUCUUCCGCAAUGGGCGAAAGCCUGACGGAGCAACGCCGCGUGAGUGAUGAAGGUCUUCGGAUCGUAAAACUCUGUUAUUAGGGAAGAACAAAUGUGUAAGUAACUAUGCACGUCUUGACGGCACCUAAUCAGAAAGCCACGGCUAACUACGUG
RNAcentral lists this ribosomal RNA (497 nucleotides) under uncultured bacterium. Its description in RNAcentral is "partial 16S ribosomal RNA". It matches the Rfam family "Bacterial small subunit ribosomal RNA", at positions 28 to 507 of the family's 1533-position model. The record is from RNAcentral.